GAUGAACGCUGGCGGCGUGCCUAAUACAUGCAAGUCGAGCGAACGGACGAGAAGCUUGCUUCUCUGAUGUUAGCGGCGGACGGGUGAGUAACACGUGGAUAACCUACCUAUCAGACUGGGAUAACUUCGGGAAACCGGAGCUAAUACCGGAUAAUAUUUUGAACCGCAUGGUUCAAAAGUGAAAGACGGUCUUGCUUUCACUUAUAGAUGGAUCCGCGCUGCAUUAGCUAGUUGGUAAGGUAACGGCUUACCAAGGCAACGAUGCAUAGCCGACCUGAGAGGGUGAUCGGCCACACUGGAACUGAGACACGGUCCAGACUCCUACGGGAGGCAGCAGUAGGGAAUCUUCCGCAAUGGGCGAAAGCCUGACGGAGCAACGCCGCGUGAGUGAUGAAGGUCUUCGGAUCGUAAAACUCUGUUAUUAGGGAAGAACAUAUGUGUAAGUAACUGUGCACAUCUUGACGGUACCUAAUCAGAAAGCCACGGCUAACUACGUG
This 497-nucleotide ribosomal RNA is filed under the name uncultured bacterium. RNAcentral's name for it is "partial 16S ribosomal RNA". It matches the Rfam family "Bacterial small subunit ribosomal RNA", at positions 28 to 507 of the family's 1533-position model. The record is from RNAcentral.